ACGGAGGGUGCAAGCGUUAAUCGGAAUCACUGGGCGUAAAGCGCACGUAGGCGGUCUUGUAAGUCAGACGUGAAAGCCCUCGGCUCAACCGGGGAAUUGCGUUUGAUACUGCUCGACUUGAGUAUCGGAGAGGGUGGCGGAAUUCCAGGUGUAGGAGUGAAAUCCGUAGAUAUCUGGAGGAACACCGGCGGCGAAGGCGGCCACCUGGACGAAUACUGACGCUGAGGUGCGAAAGCGUGGGGAGCAAACAG
Molecule: ribosomal RNA, 251 nt
Filed under: uncultured prokaryote
Description: partial 16S rRNA
Rfam family: Bacterial small subunit ribosomal RNA
Source: RNAcentral